GACGAACGCUGGCGGCAUGCCUAAUACAUGCAAGUCGAGCGAACAGAUGAAGUGCUUGCACUUCUGACGUUAGCGGCGAACGGGUGAGUAACACGUAAGGAAUCUACCUAUAAGCGGGGGAUAACAUUCGGAAACGGGUGCUAAUACCGCAUAAUACCUUCUUCCGCAUGGAAGGAGAUUGAAAGACGGCUCUGCUGUCACUUAUAGAUGACCUUGCGGUGCAUUAGUUAGUUGGUGGGGUAACGGCCUACCAAGACGAUGAUGCAUAGCCGACCUGGGAGGGUGAUCGGCCACAUUGGGACUGAGACACGGCCCAAACUCCUAGGGGAGGCAGCAGUAGGGAAUCUUCCGCAAUGGGCGAAAGCCUGACGGAGCAAUGCCGCGUGAGUGAAGAAGGCCUUCGGGUCGUAAAACUCUGUUAUAAGAGAAGAACAAAUUGUAGAGUAACUGCUACAGUCUUGACGGUAUCUUAUCAGAAAGCCACGGCUAACUACGUGCCAGCCGCCGCCGUAA
This 513-nucleotide ribosomal RNA is filed under the name uncultured bacterium. RNAcentral describes it as "partial 16S ribosomal RNA". It matches the Rfam family "Bacterial small subunit ribosomal RNA", at positions 28 to 523 of the family's 1533-position model. The record is from RNAcentral.